RNAcentral lists this ribosomal RNA (253 nucleotides) under uncultured bacterium. RNAcentral describes it as "partial 16S ribosomal RNA". It matches the Rfam family "Bacterial small subunit ribosomal RNA", at positions 524 to 776 of the family's 1533-position model. The record is from RNAcentral.
UACAGAGGUCUCAAGCAUUGUUCGGAUUCAUUGGGCGUAAAGGGCGCGUAGGCGGCCGAUCAAGUCGGAGGUGAAAUCCCUCGGCUCAACUGAGGAAUUGCCUUCGAUACUGUUCGGCUUGAGUCCUGGAGAGGGUAGCGGAAUUCCCGGUGUAGCGGUGAAAUGCGUAGAGACCGGGAAGAACACCAGUGGCGAAGGCGGCUACCUGGACAGGUACUGACGCUGAAGCGCGAAAGCUAGGGGAGCAAACAGG